This 252-nucleotide ribosomal RNA is filed under the name uncultured bacterium. RNAcentral's name for it is "partial 16S ribosomal RNA". It matches the Rfam family "Bacterial small subunit ribosomal RNA", at positions 525 to 776 of the family's 1533-position model. The record is from RNAcentral.
ACGGAGGGUGCAAGCGUUAAUCGGAAUUACUGGGCGUAAAGCGCGCGUAGGCGGUUUGGUUAGUCAGAUGUGAAAGCCCCGGGCUCAACCUGGGAACUGCAUUCGAUACUGCCAGACUAGAGUAUGUUAGAGGAGAGUGGAAUUCCGGGUGUAGCGGUGAAAUGCGUAGAUAUCCGGAGGAACAUCAGUGGCGAAGGCGACUCUCUGGGACAAUACUGACGCUGAGGUGCGAAAGCGUGGGGAGCAAACAGG